This 468-nucleotide ribosomal RNA is filed under the name uncultured bacterium. RNAcentral's name for it is "partial 16S ribosomal RNA". It matches the Rfam family "Bacterial small subunit ribosomal RNA", at positions 28 to 507 of the family's 1533-position model. The record is from RNAcentral.
GACGAACGCUGGCGGCGUGCUUAACACAUGCAAGUCGAACGGAAAGGCCCUGCUUUUGUGGGGUGCUCGAGUGGCGAACGGGUGAGUAACACGUGAGUAACCUGCCCUUGACUUUGGGAUAACUUCAGGAAACUGGGGCUAAUACCGGAUAGGAGCUCCUGCUGCAUGGUGGGGGUUGGAAAGUUUCGGCGGUUGGGGAUGGACUCGCGGCUUAUCAGCUUGUUGGUGGGGUAGUGGCUGACCAAGGCUUUGACGGGUAGCCGGCCUGAGAGGGUGACCGGCGACAAUGGGACUGAGAGACGGCCCAGACGCCUACGGGAGGCAGCAGGGGGGAAUAUUGCACAAUGGGCGGAAGCCUGAGGCAGAAGCGCCGCGUGCGGGAUGACGGCCUUCGGGUUGUAAACCGCUUUCGCCUGUGACGAAGCGUGAGUGACGGUAAUGGGUAAAGAAGCACCGGCUAACUACGUG